CCGCCCGUCGCUACUACCGAUUGAAUGGUUUAGUGAGGUCUUCGGACCGGCGGUAAGCGGGACCGUCUUCGUGUCGGUCUUGCCGAACGCUGGGAAGAUGACCAAACUUGAGCAUUUAGAGGAAGCAAAAGUCGUAACAAGGUUUCCGUAGGUGAACCUGCGGAAGGAUCAUUA
RNAcentral lists this ribosomal RNA (174 nucleotides) under Orius strigicollis. RNAcentral describes it as "partial 18S ribosomal RNA". It matches the Rfam family "Eukaryotic small subunit ribosomal RNA", at positions 1669 to 1831 of the family's 1831-position model. Lineage: Eukaryota; Metazoa; Arthropoda; Insecta; Hemiptera; Anthocoridae. The record is from RNAcentral. RNAcentral also lists the same sequence under 1 other name.